AGGUUAAUGACAAAGUGUCAGCGGCGGAGAGGACAGAUAGAUCGUACAAGACGCCGUCAAUCCCUCCCUGGAGGCUCGAGCCGCGCCAUCCUUGGCGCGGACGCUUU
RNAcentral lists this non-coding RNA (107 nucleotides) under Yersinia bercovieri. RNAcentral's name for it is "Yersinia sRNA 224". It matches the Rfam family "Yersinia sRNA 224". The record is from RNAcentral. Lineage: Bacteria; Pseudomonadati; Pseudomonadota; Gammaproteobacteria; Enterobacterales; Yersiniaceae.